Molecule: non-coding RNA, 45 nt
Organism: Schistosoma mattheei
Lineage: Eukaryota; Metazoa; Platyhelminthes; Trematoda; Strigeidida; Schistosomatidae
Source: Rfam
AUCCAGCUAACGAGUCCCAAAUAGGACGAAACGCACGUCCUGGAU